UACGUAGGGGGCAAGCGUUAUCCGGAUUUACUGGGUGUAAAGGGAGCGUAGGCGGUUUAGCAAGUCAGAAGUGAAAGCCCGGGGCUCAACUCCGGGACUGCUUUUGAAACUGUUGAACUAGAUUGCAGGAGAGGUAAGUGGAAUUCCUAGUGUAGCGGUGAAAUGCGUAGAUAUUAGGAGGAACACCAGUGGCGAAGGCGGCUUACUGGACUGUAAAUGACGCUGAGGCUCGAAAGCGUGGGGAGCAAACAGG
This 253-nucleotide ribosomal RNA is filed under the name uncultured bacterium. RNAcentral's name for it is "partial 16S ribosomal RNA". It matches the Rfam family "Bacterial small subunit ribosomal RNA", at positions 524 to 776 of the family's 1533-position model. The record is from RNAcentral.